GACAGAGGGUGCAAACGUUGUUCGGAUUUACUGGGCGUAAAGCGCGUGUAGGCGGCUUUGCAAGUCGGAUGUGAAAUCCCACGGCUCAACCGUGGAAGUGCAUCCGAAACUGCAUCGCUGGAGUCUCGGAGAGGAAGGUGGAAUGCUUGGUGUAGAGGUGAAAUGCGUAGAUACUGGGAGGAACACCAGUGGCGAAGGCGGCUACCUGGACCGGUACUGACGCUGAGGCGCGAAAGCGUGGGUAGCAAACAGG
RNAcentral lists this ribosomal RNA (253 nucleotides) under uncultured bacterium. RNAcentral describes it as "partial 16S ribosomal RNA". It matches the Rfam family "Bacterial small subunit ribosomal RNA", at positions 524 to 776 of the family's 1533-position model. The record is from RNAcentral.